GACGAACGCUGGCGGCGUGCUUAACACAUGCAAGUCGAACGGAAAGGCCCUGCUUUUGUGGGGUGCUCGAGUGGCGAACGGGUGAGUAACACGUGAGUAACCUGCCCUUGACUUUGGGAUAACUUCAGGAAACUGGGGCUAAUACCGGAUAGGAGCUCCUGCUGCAUGGUGGGGGUUGGAAAGUUUCGGCGGUUGGGGAUGGACUCGCGGCUUAUCCGCUUGUUGGUGGGGUAGUGGCUUACAAAGGCUUUGACGGAUAGCCGGCCUGAGAGGGUGACCGGCCUCAUUGGGACUGAGAGACGGCCCAGACGCCUACGGGAGGCAGCAGUGGGGAAUAUUGCACAAUGGGCGGAAGCCUGAUGCAGCAGCGCCGCGUGCGUGAUGACGUCCUUCGGGUUGUAAACCGCUUUCGCCUGUGACGAAGCGUGAGUGACGGUAAUGGAUAAAGAAGCACCGGCUAACUACGUG
Molecule: ribosomal RNA, 468 nt
Filed under: uncultured bacterium
Lineage: Bacteria
Description: partial 16S ribosomal RNA
Rfam family: Bacterial small subunit ribosomal RNA
Source: RNAcentral